GAUCACGCGAAUAUCAGCUCAACGAUUCGGCCGGCUACUAUCUGAGCCAACUCGACAGAAUUUGUGCUCCUAAUUACAUUCCCACACAGGUAUUUUUCACUGGAAAAUUCACAAAUUUUUCCACUACUAAAAAUUCAAAUUUCCUUUGCAGGAUGACAUUCUCCGCACAAGAAUCAAGACAACAGGAAUCGUGGAGACGCAGUUUGUCUACAAAGAUCGCCUAUUUUUGUAGGGGGAAAAUUAAUUUUAAAAAAUUGAAAAAAUCGUCGCCGAAAUUCAGGGUUUUCGACGUUGGCGGACAGCGAUCCGAACGAAAAAAGUGGAUUCAUUGCUUCGAAGACGUGACGGCACUCAUUUUCUGCGUUGCACUGUCAGAAUAUGAUAUGGUUCUUGUCGAAGAUUGUCAGACG
Molecule: small RNA, 410 nt
Filed under: Caenorhabditis elegans
Lineage: Eukaryota; Metazoa; Nematoda; Chromadorea; Rhabditida; Rhabditidae
Description: Unclassified non-coding RNA Y95B8A.21
Source: RNAcentral